RNAcentral lists this long non-coding RNA (205 nucleotides) under Mytilus galloprovincialis (Mediterranean mussel). The record is from RNAcentral. Lineage: Eukaryota; Metazoa; Mollusca; Bivalvia; Mytilida; Mytilidae.
AUUUUUCUCAAAAUUUAUGACUAGCAUAUAUGUAUGUGUAACAAUGAGCCAUCAUGCUUUGGAGUACUUAUGUCUUUCUUUCAUCAGUUUGCUAAAUACAUUCCGUUUUAACAUAAAAACAAGUUCUAUAGCAACUUUCUAGGUCAAUACAUUACAAUAUAAACAAAGCAAAGAGAGUGUGUUCUCACUUUCGCCUCAUACCCAA